UCCAGUCUAGGAGGGUUGCAUCAGGAACGGCCGCUGUAGCUCAGAAACAAGAUGCUUCUGGGCUUCCCUGUUGGUACCAGAUCACCCUGUGGGCAGGGGGCUUUGUGAUCAUCAUCCUGGGGGUGGCUGUGACAGUCUUGGCUUUGCAGUUGGAAGCUGAAAAGGGAAAAAUUGUGCUGAACAAUGGUGGAUGCAAUGCCUCGAUAGACAAGUUUCGGGCUUCCCUAAGACACAGGAUCUGCAAUCAAAAUCAGAAUAGGU
This is a long non-coding RNA of Lacerta agilis (Sand lizard), 261 nucleotides long. RefSeq lists it as uncharacterized. The transcript is spliced from 3 exons. NCBI's taxonomy places the organism in Eukaryota, Metazoa, Chordata, Lepidosauria, Squamata, Lacertidae. The record is from RefSeq and is a predicted model, not a curated record.